Stegostoma tigrinum is the source of this 951-nucleotide long non-coding RNA. RefSeq lists it as uncharacterized. The record is from RefSeq and is a predicted model, not a curated record. The transcript is spliced from 3 exons. NCBI's taxonomy places the organism in Eukaryota, Metazoa, Chordata, Chondrichthyes, Orectolobiformes, Stegostomatidae.
GCGUGACCCUCCAUAACUGUUCUGACCUGAAACAACAAGUGAACUGUUUUUCGGUGAGAUCAGAAACUGGUACUUGCAUGCUUCUGAAAGUUCGACACCAUUAUUCACUAUCCCACAUUUGAAAACGACAGAGUACAGGAACUCUUGCUUGCUAAGAGCUGGAUAGAACAUGUGAUGCAGUGAUGUGGAAUUAGGAAAUGCCAACAUGGGAUCAGUAUUUUACAAGGGAUAACUGCUUCAGGAUAGGACAAUGGGAUUUUCGUUUUCACGUCCAUGUGAGUGGGAGAUGGAACUUUGGCCUUCCCCUAAAGAUGACACCGCCAACAGUUUGACACUGCCCCAGUGUGGCACAGCUGUAUUUUUGUCUUCACAUUGGACCUGAACCCACAAAUUCUGGUUUAAAGACAAGACUGUUUGGAGCAAACCAAGUGGGACAAUUCGACUGCACAGUAAGUGAACAUUGUCAUCAAUUGUUUGGACCUGAUGGUCUGUAACUGUUGCGUAUUAAGUAUAGUAUAGCCUGAUGAGGGUAGAGUCUUCUUCAUGUGCCGACAAUAAAUGGUUUAUGUGAAAUUAGUUUGGACGGUCUCUCUACAGUUUCUUGCUAACAUGGACUAACUGCAUUUUCUUUAAAUUGCCACUAAAUGGUAAGUUGACUCAAUGGAACCAUAGAAAGGGCAAUGUGCAAUUGGGGCAGAAAUGGUCACAAUGAUGAAGGUACAUCUGGGGGUGGGGCUAAAUAGAAGGAAGUGGAUGGAACAUUGUUCACCAUCGAUUCUGUUGAGCACAGAAACCAAUGGAAACAUCCGGGGCUUAAUUUGUAUGUUGCAAUAUUUGUGUCACUACUGAGUUGCCCAACACGGCUGAGAGAUCAGAGAAAAUCACUGACUGCAGAGAUUUCUUUUUUAAAAAAGUUGUUGUCUUGUCGUUCAGUUGAUUUGUGGUAGGAAA